CCAGUCAGUGAGGUUGACCUAUAGACGGGUUAGCGGACAAUGUCAAGAAAUCUAUGUGCGUUAUAUGGGACAGAAGGCCAUGUGUUGUUAUGGUUGUGGAUGGCCAGAUAGCUAGCAACAAUGACUAGAAACUGCCAUGUAGUGAAUUCGAAAGUGGCUGGUUUCAGCUCGUUUGAUCUUGUUCUUGAUACCAUGUUUUGACUGAUGUCACGUAUAUGCUUAUAUGGCAAAAAUUUGCUAGCUAGCUAGCUAACCAACAACUAUAACGGUGUAUUUGAGAGACAAGUGCUCAUUGUGCAACUUUAUUUAUGUUUUAGAUCAACAAUCUAAGCCAACCCUGGCUGUUUUACCUUAUAGUUGCGCACGUAUCGGUUUUGUUGCUAAACAACCAACUCGUCUAUAUCUGUUUCAAGUUAACCCAGAAUGUACACUUUUGGGGGAUAGUGCUAGGACCAACACUGAGUGGGGACUUUGGUACAGUUUGACAGCAUACAUCGCUGCUGAUGACAGUAUACAUUUCCACUUCAACAAAAUACCUGCCAGACUGGUUCUUUCUCUUUAUAUGAAGAAGAUGAGGUGGAAAGACAUGAGCACAACUCUACAGCAAGAGUGAUUCCGACUACGCUUGGACCAUUCUGGCCGCGCGCUUCUGGGACCGUUCUGGCUACGCUUCCGGGACCGUUCUGGCUACGCUUCCGGGACCGUUCUGGCUACGCUUCCGGGACCGUUCUGGCUACGCUUCCGGGACCGUUCUGGCUACGCUACCAGGACCAUUCUGGCUACGCUACCAGGACCAUUCUGGCUACACUUUCUGGGCCAUUCUGACUAUGCUUCUGGGGCCAUUCUGGCAACUCUGCCUCUACUCUGUUUAGAUGAAUUACUAGAAACUGCAGAGUGAUAACUGCCACCUCACUGUGCUCAUCACGGAUUUGGACAACAUGCUAUUUAAAGGUAAUUUAAGAUGACAUAUGCAGGGUUUACUAUGAAUCUGGUCUCUGCGAGCGAACUCAGGAACUUUGCCUUUAAAAGGUGCAUUGCAUACAUUGCUGAUUGGUUAAAAGUCAAUUCCACAAGUCACCACCUGCUAAAUCUAUGAUGUUAAAAUGCCUAUUUACUCUGUUCCAUCUGACUGCGCAAUCCACCGUCUCAUCAGCCCAGCCAGGCAAUUUAUAAACUUGAUCUCCACUAUAAAAAACUUCUAGACAUUAUCUCACAUUUACUAAAGAUUUUCAUUUAGUUUUCAACAGUGGAGAUUUGUAAUAACCUUGCUGUCUGUCUCUCCGACAUUUGCAACAUUGUUUCAAUAUUAAAAUUGGAUCUCCAGCUGUCCUAUAGUAAGGAACGUGUCGGGAGUCAGGACGAGACAGACAGACAGACAGGCAGCUUCUCUUAGCCAGUCUUGAAUUAUGAAUCAGCUGGCAUCAUUUUUAUGGAUAUAUACAAAGAAAUAUAAAUUGAAAAAAGGUACCGCGAAAUGAAGUAGUGCUAGUGUGCAGUCUUUCCAGCUUCAGUUUGAAGUGAUUGUGUUAGCUGUGUUGGCUAGCUCCUGUGAACAAAAGUAUCCUGAUGAGAGAGCACAUUUUCUAUGCCAGGCUAAAUUGUGCCUCAUUAGCUCAUUGUUAUGGAUGUAUCCAAAUAAAUGUCACUAGAAAACAGUUUAAACAAAUGCAAAUGCAGCUACUGUUAUUCUGGCUGCACUGUUUGAUGUGCUGUAAAUUAGCUGUAGUUGACUAGCUAGCAAGCAAGGGAUAAGAACGUUGCCAGCUAGUAUGACAAUGGAACAUUUAGAACGGACAACUGGGUCGCGUCCAUAGAUACAGAACAAAAAGACUGAACGACUGGUUCGCAUCUCUGGCAACCGAAUCGAUAGAACAACCAGCCGGCUUGGGUAACAACCCUAGAUUUGUGUCGGGACUAUAUCUUGUGGAAGGGUGAAAUAGUAUGAAUAAAUUCAGCAAAAUAACGUUUUUAAUUAAAUUAUGUAUAUCAUUAUUUGAAUAUGUUGGUUAACCCUUUGUAUGCCCUCAAUAUUUUGGCACGGUUUGCUGGCCCUGGACUUCGUCUUGGGCCUAACAACACCCGUGCCAAUAUAUCCUCCAAACACCGGCUUCUCGGGCAUUAUCACUUAAUUAUUCUAUCAGCAUUGUGCAAUGGGGAUAACAGUUCUAACUACAUAUAGUACAACAACAAUUUUUUUUUUUUAAAUAAUGAAAUGUAUGCAUUCACUACUGUAAGUCGCUCUGGAUAAGAGCGUCUGCUAAAUGACUAAAAUGUAAAUGUAAAUAUAAUAGAUAAUCUUUGCUAUAUUACAAAGCAUCAUGCCCCUAAGCCCGACAUCCACCUGGCACAGGAAGAUUUAAGUGUCCUCCCCAAGUCCCUCCCCAAUAGUACCCGCAAAACACAAGUCUCAACGUCAACAGUGAAGAGGCGACUCCGGAAUGCUGGCCUUCUAGGCAGAGUUGCAAAGAUAAAAAGCCAUAUCUCUGAUUGGUCAAUAAAAAGAAAAGAUUAAGAUGGGCAAAAGAACACAGACACUGGACAGGGGAACUCUGCCUAGAAGGCCAGCAUCCCGGAGUCGCCUCUUCACUGUUGACGUUGAGACUGGUGUUUUGCGGGUACUAUUUAAUGAAACUGCCAGUUGAGGUCUUGUGAGGCGUCUGUUUCUCAAACUAGACUCUCUAAUGUACUUGUCCUCUUGCUCAGUUGUGCACCAGGGCCUCCCACACCUCUUUCUAUUCUGGUCAGAGACAGUUUGCACUGUUCUGUGAAGGGAGUAGUACACAGCGCUGUAUGAGAUCUUCAGUUUCUUGGCAAUUUCUCGCAUGGAAUAGCCUUCAUUUCUCAGGACAAGAAUAGACUGACGAGUUUCAGAAGAAAGGUUUUUGUUUCUGGCCAUUUUGAGCCUGUAAUUGAACCCACAAAUGCUGAUGCUCCAGAUACUCAACUAGUCUAAAGAAGGAGUUUUAUUGCUUCUUUAAUCAGG
RNAcentral lists this long non-coding RNA (2983 nucleotides) under Salmo salar (Atlantic salmon). RNAcentral describes it as "lncRNA (ENSSSAG00000083985.1)". The stretch from base 2218 to 2271 matches the Rfam family "UnaL2 LINE 3' element". Lineage: Eukaryota; Metazoa; Chordata; Actinopteri; Salmoniformes; Salmonidae. The record is from RNAcentral.